GAGUAUUAUCUUUAACUUGAUUCUUUUCUUUUUACCACGAAAUAGAAAACCAAAAAUACUUCCAUACGCUUCAAAUUGUUCAGAUCUAUAUUGAAGUGAAAAAAUGGCUUGAUCUACUAUGUAUAAGAACUAAUCAACUCUAAAAGAUUGUUCAAGAGACUUUGUGGUUUUAUUAUCAUUAUUUACAUUAAAUUAUUUCUUUAUAUAUAUAUUAUGCGUUUAUUUCAAAUUGUUCUCAAUAUUUUCUUCUAAAUAGUGAUACGCCUACGAUUUCUAAAAAUGGGACCCCUCAAAUUUGGGUGCCUAAAGCGACCUUUUUAAUUGCUUCGCGUUUGAGCCGCCCCUUGCAUCUAUAUAUGAAUAUAAAUCUAAAAUCUAAAACUGGAAAUGAAAAAGGUGAUGUGACACUUCCUAUGUUGAGCAUUAGUAUUUAUCUAAUUUUUCCUUUUUCCUACAUUUUCUUCUUCAUUCUACUAUAGAACAAAUAAACCGGUUAAAAAAAAAAAAGACAUAGUGUUGCUUCUGAAAGGUCACAUUAAUAACGUAAGACUAACCGUUAUGCUUCUGGAGUCGAACCCAAAUAAAUUACAUUUAGUAUAGGCUUUGGUCAGGUCUUUCACCGUAUUUCUUCUCCCUCCAAUAUCCACCAUGGAAAGUGCAUCAAUUCUAAACAAACUGAAGUAUGGGUAUGUCUCCUUAUUCUGUCUUGCAAUAUAGUUCUUCUUCAUUUUCUGAAAUUAUUAACAAUGAUAUGAUUGCUUAAAUAAAAGUAUUGCUAUUCUUCUUUGUAUGUAGUUUCAAUUUUGCAGAAAUGGAGACUUGCCCCCCACCGGAAGUUUUAAUUGCAACGCUUCUUACUAAUUUUCUCCAUCUCAGAGCCAUUUCACUUCUGUGUAGAAGAAUUAUGUCUUCUCCAUUUUCAGUAGAAGCUUUUUAUGAUUGCCUUCAAUUUUAUGUCCUUUUAAUCUACUAUUAGUCAUGACUCACACUAUAACAUUCUUAUGACCAUGUUCCCUCACCUCUAAUUUUUCAUCCAUAUUUCAUAUCCCCAACAAAAACAAAAACAUUGUACCAGGUUCCCUCAACAUUAUGUCAAUUUACAGUAAAAAUGGGAGAUUUUCCAUACAGGACAAGAGUGGGUCUCUGCAAACUUCAAUCUGUUUAUGUGAUGACGCUUCCAACUCUUGAACGGCAUGUAAGCAUUUUUUUGUUGAUCAAUUCUAAUUUUUGAUUGGUUAGGUUUUUAAUUUUGUUAAUCCUUCCACAGUAUUUGCUCUUUAGAUAAUUAAUUUGUCAAUUGUUACAAAAUUUUUGCUAUGUAGGUGGUAGUAUUAUGGCGAAUUUCUCAUUUUACUCUAUUAUGUAUAAUUUCUUUCAAUAUUCCUUCGCAGAAGUAAUUGAGAAAUUGGCUCUUUUAUGCUAGACAGGUACCAUCACCACUGUUUCAUUCGUAUGUUACUGAUACUAAUGAUCCUUCACUGCUUUUGUAACGACCCGACCGGUCGUUUUGAGUAUUAUAACCUCAUUCACCCAUUUACUGUUCAAGUUAUAUUUUACAAUUAUUUUAUAACUUACCGGGUUAGUUGGUUCGGGUCUGGAAGUAUUUCGGAGUGAAAUGAGACACUUAGUCUCAUAAUUAAAAACUUAACUUGAAAAAGUUGACCGGAUGUUGACUUAUAUGUAAACGACCUAGGACUUGAAUUCUGAUGAUUCCAAUAGCUCCGUAUGGUGAUUUUGCACUUAGGAGCGUGUCCGAAAAACUAUUUGAAGGUCCGUAGUGGAAUUAGGCUUGAAAUGGCGAAAGUUAAAUUUUUGGAAAGUUUGACCAGGGAUUGACUUUUUGAUAUCGGGGUCGGAAUUCGAUUCUGGAAAUUUGAAUAGGUCUGUUAUGUCAUUUAUGACUUGUGUGCAAAAUUUGAGGUCAAUCGGACAUAAUUUGAUAGGUUCCGGCGUCGUUUGUAGAAAUUAAAAGUUUCAAAGUUCAUUAGGCUUGAAUCCGUGUGGAAUUCGUGUUUUGAUGUUGUUUGAGAUAAUUUGAGGAUCCGACUAAGUUCGUAUUGGGUUAUAAGACUUGUUGGUAUGUUUGGUUGAGGUCCUGGGGGCCUCGGGUUGAAUUCGGGUGGUUAACGGACUUGGAAGUAGGUUGAAGAAGCAGCUGAAGUUUUGCUGUUGCUGGUGUAAUCGCACUUGCAGAGUGGGAAUCGCAGAUGCGAGCCCGCAGAAGCGGGGAGGGAGCCGCAGAAGCGACCAUGAAGGAUUUGGGUAGAAGCCGCAUAUGGGAGUUGUGGGCGCAGAAGCGCUUGUGCAGAAACGGGAAGAAGGGUGCAGGUGCGGGCAGGCGCGCAGGUACGAUGGAAUUUUCCGUACCGAGGUGCAGAUGCGGUCCAAGGCUUGAGUUACAUGAGAAGAAUUAUCCGGUCCAUGACCUUGAAUUAGCAGCUAUUNNNNNNNNNNNNNNNNNNNNNNNNNAGGUUUAUACCAAUUACCGGAUUCUGCAGCAUCUAUUUAAACAGAAGGAUCUUAAUUUGUGGCAGCAGAGGUGGUUGGAGUUGCUUAAGGAUUAUGAUAUCACCAUUCUUUAUCAUCCUGGAAAGACCAAUGUGGUGGAAGUGGGAGCGUAUUAAAGAGCGAGCUUCAGACACCGGGAGGAUUGCUUCAGAGACUUGAAAUUCCAGAGUGGAAGUGGGAGCAUAUUACCAUGGACUUCGUAGUUGGGCUCCCAUGAAUUUUGAGAAAGUUUGAUAUUGUUUGGGUGAUUGUAGAUCGUUUGACCAAGUAUGCGCAUUUCAUUCCAGUUAGUACUACUUAUUCUUUGGAGUGAUUGGCUAAGAUUUAUAUCCGCGAGAUUGUUCGCCUACACGGGGUGCCCGUGUCCAUCAUUUCGGACCGGGUCACACAGUUUACAUUACAGUUUUGGAGAGCAGCGCAGCGAGAAUUGGGCACACAGGUUCAACUGAGUAUAACAUUUCACCCUCAGACGGACGGACAGUCCAAGCGCACUAUUCAGAUAUUGGAAGAUAUGCUACGCACUUGUGUUAUAGAUUUUGGAGGUUCUUGGGAUCAAUUUCUGCCACUGGCAGAGUUUUCUUACAAUAACAGCUACCAAUUGAGCAUUCAGAUGGAUCUGUAUGAGGCUUUAUAUAGGAGACAGUGUCGUUCUCCGGUGGGUUGGUUUGAGCCGGGUAAGACUAGGCUAUUGGGUACUGAUUUGGUUCAUGAUGCUUUGGAGAAGGUUAAACUGAUUCAGGAGCGGCUUCGCACGACGCAAUCUAGACAGAAGAGUUAUGUCAACCGGAAGUUCCGUGAUGUUACUUACAUGGUUAGGGAGAAGGUUCUGCUCAAGAUUUCGCCCAUAAAGGGUGUGUUGAGGUUCGGGAAGAAGGGCAACUUGAGCCCUCGGUAUAUUGGGCCUUUUGAGGUACUUAAGAAGAUUGGAGAGGUGGCUUAUGAACUUGCUUUUCCACCUAGUCUAUCAGGUGUUCAUCCAGUGUUCCAUGUAUCCAUGCUCUGAAAGUAUGUCGGGGAUCCGUCUCAUAUAUUGGAUUUCAGUGCAGUGCAGCUGGAUGGUGAUUUGACUUAUGAUGUGGAGUCGGUGACUAUUUUAGACCGACAGGUUCGAAAGCUGAGGUCAAAGAACAUAGCAUCAGUGAAGGUACGGUGGAGAGGCCAGCCAGUCGAAGAAUCUACUUGAGAGAUUGAACAGGAGAUGCAGAGCAAAUAUCCGCACCUAUUUGAGACUCCAGUUAUGAUUCUAAACUCGUUCGGGGACGAACAUUUAUUUAAGAGGGGGAGAAUGUAAUGACUCGGCCGGUCGUUUUGAGUAUUAUAACCUCGUUGCCCCAUUUACUGCUCAAGUUAUGCUUUACAGUUAUUUUAUAACUUACCGGAUUAGUCGGUUCGGGUCCAGAAGGAUUUCGGAGUGAAAUGAGACAUUUAGUCUCAUAAUUGUAAACUUAAGUUGGAAAGGUUGACCGGAUGUUGAUUUAUGUGUAAGCGACCUUGGAUUUGAAUUAUGAUUAUUCCAAUAGCUCUGUAUGGUAAUUUUGAACUUAGGAGCAUGUCCGAAAAAUUAUUUGAAGAUCCGUAGCGGAAUUAGGCUUGAAAUGGUGGAAGUCGAAUUUUUGGGAAGUUUGACCGGGGGGAUGAGUUUUUGAUAUCGGGGUCGGAAUUCGAUUUUGAAAAUUUGAACAGGUCCGUUAUAUCAUUUAUGACUUGUAUGCAAAAUUUGAGGUCAAUCGGACAUGAUUUGAUAUGUUCCGGCGUCGUUUGUAGAAAUUGGAAGUUUCAAAGUUCAUUAGGCUUGAAUCCGUGUGGAAUUCGUGUUUUGAUGUUGUUUGAGGUAAUUUGAGGGUCCGGCUAAGUUUUUAUUGGGGCCUCGAGUUGAAUUCGGGUGGUUAACGGACUUGGAAGUAAGUUAAAGAAGCAGAUGAAGUUUUGCUGCUGCUGCUGCUGCUGGUGUAAUCGCACCUGCGGAGUGGGAACCGCAGGUGCGAGCCCGCAGAAACGGGGAGGGAGCCGCAGAAGCGGUGGAUUUGGGCAGGGGCCGCAGAUGCAGACUUGUGGGCGUAGAAACGCUUGAACAGAAGCGGGAAGAAGGGCGCAGGUGCGGGCAGGCGCGCAGGUGCGAUGGAAUUUUCCGCACCUGUGAAGGCACAGAUGCGGUCCAAGGCUCGCAGAAGAGGAGGCAGUUGGGCUAAGUGACUUCCGCAGAUGCGGUGUUUUCAUUGCUGAAGCGGGACCGCAGAUGCAGAAAUAUGGUUGCAGGUGCAAAAGCACUGGGCAGUGUACAAAACAGAAGGGUCCGAGAGAUUUUGUCUUUUUUGACAUUUUCAAUAGCGGGUGAGGCGAUUUUUGAGCGAGAAAUCAUGGAAAAUCUUGAGGUAAGUCACUUAUGAUCAUUUCUACUCCAUAAUAUUGAAUUAUCAUCGAAUAAUCUGACUAGAUUACAUGUUUUUGAGGUGUAAAUCGGGAAUUUGAACUUAGGAAUUUGAAAAUAUGAUUUGAAGAUUUGGAGGCCGAGUUGAGGUCGGAUUUUGGUAAAAUUGGUAUGGUUAGACUCGUGGUUGAAUGGGCUUUCGGGUUUCAUAUUUUUUGUCGGGUUUAGAGACGUGGAGCCCACGGGCGAUUUUUGAGCUAAAUUUCGGAUUUUGUUGGAGAAUUAGUAUUUUCUUAUGGAAUUAAUUCCAAUAAAUUUUAUUGACUGAAUCAAAUUAUUUGUGGCUAGAUUCAAGCCAUUUGGGGGCCAAUUCACGAGGCAAAGGCAUAGCAGAAUAAAGAAUUACACGGUUUGAGGUAAGUAACAGUUCUAAAUUUGGUCCUGAGGGUAUGAAACUCCGGAUUAUGUGUUAUGUGAUCGGUUUUGAGGUGACGCACAUGCUAGGUGACGGGC
This 5389-nucleotide long non-coding RNA is filed under the name Nicotiana tabacum (common tobacco). RNAcentral describes it as "long non-coding RNA (NTAB_LNC013408)". Lineage: Eukaryota; Viridiplantae; Streptophyta; Magnoliopsida; Solanales; Solanaceae. The record is from RNAcentral.